Molecule: ribosomal RNA, 254 nt
Filed under: uncultured bacterium
Lineage: Bacteria
Description: partial 16S ribosomal RNA
Rfam family: Bacterial small subunit ribosomal RNA
Source: RNAcentral
UACGUAGGGGGCUAGCGUUGUCCGGAUUUAUUGGGCGUAAAGAGCGUGUAGGCGGCCAGGUAGGUCUGCUGUGAAAACUCGAGGCUCAACCUCGAGAUGUCGGCGGAAACCAUCUGGCUAGAGUCCGGAAGAGGAGAGUGGAAUUCCUGGAUGUAGCGGUGAAAUGCGCAGAUAUCAGGAGGAACACCGGUGGCGAAGGCGGAUCUCUGGGCCAUUACUGACGCUGAGGAGCGAAAGCGUGGGGAGCGAACAGG